Erinaceus europaeus (western European hedgehog) is the source of this 1143-nucleotide long non-coding RNA. RefSeq lists it as uncharacterized. The transcript is spliced from 2 exons. Lineage: Eukaryota; Metazoa; Chordata; Mammalia; Eulipotyphla; Erinaceidae. The record is from RefSeq and is a predicted model, not a curated record.
CCUGAGGGAACAGUCAAACCUUGCUCUUUCCUGCAGCACUUACACAGCCCUGCCCACCGUUUAAGGCAGGAAAUAGGCCCGUGCGACUCCAGAAGGCCAUUCUGGACAGAAAUUGUGUGUGUGCACAGAAUAUCAUGCGGGAGGGAUGAUAACCUCCAAGACUUCACCUUCUACCAGUCAUCAGUCAAAGCAGUUCAGACUUACAGAUGGCACUGCACUCUGAGUCACCACCACUCUUUAUAAGAAGUCAGGGGACUUGGCUUGAAUGUGUCACCAGAGCAUUAAGUUGACGGACAGCUGGGGGCUGAGUGGUGGCGCACCUGGUUGAGCGCACACGUUACUGUGGGCAAGGACGUGGGUUUAAGCUCCUGGUCCCGACCUGCAGGGGAAGAGCUUCUCGAGUGGUAAUGCUGAGUUGCAGGUAUCUCCCUCUCUCCCUCUCCCCGCUUGAUUUCUCUCUAUCCAAUGAUAAUUAUUUUUUUUAAUUAAGGGAUUCCCAGCCAUCUUCUUUGGUUGGGAGGAAGCAAACGUCCUCUCCCAAACAGGGACAGGCACUUUCUAUGAACCACCCAGAAAGGGCCCUGGCAGGUCUGGAUUGGUCAUAGUUGCUUCCUUCUCUCAGCCAAUUCUUCUGCUCAGCAGAAGAGACUGAGGUAUGAAGUGAACCUGGAGAACAGCAGCAGGCAGGCAGGGUCCUCAGAAGAAGAAAGACCACCUCUGCUACUCUCCUCCAGCCCCUCCACCUCCAUGUCUCACUCUGAGCUCUACUCUGUGUGGACAGUGCUGGCUACAGUGCCAGCAGGAGAAGAGAGGCCCAGAGAACUGCCCAUGGAGCUGAUGUCAGGAUCCGGAAAAGAACAGAGGCCGGGAGAUGGCUGGCUGGGUGGGGUGCAUUCCCUGCUGUGCAGACAACCCAAGUUCAAGCUCUGGCAGUGUCAUGGCAUCAAGAGAAGAUGCCUAAGAACUUCAACCUAGCUGCUGAGGCUACAGAUGACAGCAGGUGGGAACCUGGGAGGCAGUGAGAGCCGAAGUCCUACAAGUGUGAGGUGCCAAGUUCAUUCGUUCAACCAUUCAACCUGGAAUUGCAAGUGCCAGGAUGAUGUCCUGGUUCUCUGAAUCAUAAAUAAAUAAAUCUCUUUUUUU